CCCGCUGAACUUAAGCAUAUCAAUAAGCGGAGGAAAAGAAACCAACAGGGAUUGCCUUAGUAGCGGCGAGUGAAGCGGCAAUAGCUCAAAUUUGAAAUCUGGCACUUUCAGUGUCCGAGUUGUAAUUUGAAGAAGGUAUCUUUGGGUCUAGCUCUUGUCUAUGUUUCUUGGAACAGAACGUCACAGAGGGUGAGAAUCCCGUGCGAUGAGAUGUCUAGAUCUAUGUAAAGUUCCUUCGAAGAGUCGAGUUGUUUGGGAAUGCAGCUCUAAGUGGGUGGUAAAUUCCAUCUAAAGCUAAAUAUUGGCGAGAGACCGAUAGCGAACAAGUACAGUGAUGGAAAGAUGAAAAGAACUUUGAAAAGAGAGUGAAAAAGUACGUGAAAUUGUUGAAAGGGAAGGGCUUGAGAUCAGACUUGGUAUUUUGUAUGUUACUCUCUCGGGGGUGGCCUCUACAGUUUACCGGGCCAGCAUCAGUUUGAGCGGUAGGAGAAUUGCGUAGGAAUGUGGCUCGGCCUCGGUCGAGUGUUAUAGCCUUCGUCGAUACUGCCAGCUUAGACUGAGGACUGCGGCUUCGGCCUAGGAUGUUGGCAUAAUGAUCUUAAGUCGCCCGUCUUGAAACACGG
Molecule: non-coding RNA, 623 nt
Filed under: Parastagonospora nodorum SN15
Lineage: Eukaryota; Fungi; Ascomycota; Dothideomycetes; Pleosporales; Phaeosphaeriaceae
Description: Phaeosphaeria nodorum SN15 Eukaryotic large subunit ribosomal RNA
Rfam family: Eukaryotic large subunit ribosomal RNA
Source: Rfam by way of RNAcentral